GCAACUCGCCUACACGAAGUUGGAAUUGCUAGUAAUCGUGGAUCAGCAUGCCACGGUGAAUACGUUCCCGGGUCUUGUACACACCGCCCGUCACACCAUGGGAGGUCGGUAACACCCGAAGUCAGUAGUCUAACCGCAAGGAGGACGCUGCCGAAGGUGGGAUUGACGACUGGGGUGAAGUCGUAACAAGGUAUC
This 195-nucleotide ribosomal RNA is filed under the name uncultured bacterium. RNAcentral describes it as "partial 16S ribosomal RNA". It matches the Rfam family "Bacterial small subunit ribosomal RNA", at positions 1307 to 1500 of the family's 1533-position model. The record is from RNAcentral.